UUUUGGUACAGGUCAAGAUUUCUGGAAACCCCCAAAAUCUGGGUUGGCCAGCUUGUCCUUAAAAGUGACCAUUUAAGUUCCACACGAGUUUAGUUCUGUUUGUGCUUCUGCCCUUUCCUUGACCACCACUGAGCUGCUUUCUGCUGUGCUUUCAGCCCGAUUAUUGUAGGGGGGAAAAAACGACAUGUUCUUUCUGUUCAGAAGAUUCGUCUGCAGUAUGUGAAAAUGCAACGCUGCUGCUGCUGCUAAUUUUUUUAUGUGUUCUGUGGCUACAUUUUCUGUUGUGGGAAGAUGGAUUGCAUCUAUUUUCUCCCCUGGUUUCUUGCAUGAAGAUGUAAUAAUGGUUCAACUUUUAUUCAGUGUAGGGCUUUCACCGGUUAUUGUGAUUUUGAUGAUGCUACGAAACACCAUCCCAUGAACUGCUGUCCCUCUCUCUCUCUCCUCCCUUCUCUCCACCCCUCUGUGGGGGUUUUUGCUUGUCACCCCCGAACUUUGCUUUAUUUUGUUUUUAACACAGCCUGUGAUUCCACUGCUUGCCUUGCUUGUCUUGUUUUGCAAAUCGAUACAAUCUAAAAAUGAAUUGGAUCAACUUACACACACGUUUGUUCAUUUUCCUUUAUCUUUUCUGCCCAAUGGUUAUUCGGUGUGAAAUUUAUUUCUUGGGACAAUUAAUACUUGCUCUUAUAGACCUUAACAUUAUCAUCUAUUGGAGAUAUAAAGAACCAACUGUGGUUUUUGUGAAUUACAUUUUAGUAACUCCUGUAUAAAGAAAUGUUUUCUUUUUAUCUUUGUGAAUGAGUUGAUUCUUUGCCAUGUAGCGGAAUUCAAUAUUGAUAUAAUGUUUAAAGUGAUGACAAAUUUUCAAGUUUGAAAGAGGGGAAUUUUCUUGAAUUUGAAGGGUGGCUUCUAAAUCGAAGUAGACAAGACUUGAUGUUUUAUGCCAUUAUCAUCAUUUGAAGUGACUUAAAAUUUCGGAUGAGUCGAAUUUAUCUUGGUUUUUCUCUUUACAACAGUAAAACAAUGUUAUUAUUAUACGUCCUGGUAUUGAUGGCAACUGAGAAGAAUUGCAUAGCGUCCAUUCCUUUUGUAAGAAAAGUUUACAGAUUUUCUAUUGCGCUCAACAUAAAGAGGAGGCUCUCAUCACUGUACAUUUACCAUAAUCAAGACAAGAAUUCAGGUGGUGCAAAAGAGCAGCAUAUUAUACAAGUAGAGAAGUGUGAAAUUGAUUAUAGAAAUCUUCCUGCUUGUUCACUUCCAAGCUCGUUAUUAUGUUGUCCGAGCGUCAUUUUCAAAGCAGAAUAUUGUUUGAUUCUUUAUUCGCCCUUGUUGCAGCAUCAUGAAUUAUUGGUCUAAAUGAAAGAUUUGUGAAAUGCUACAAGUAGAAUCUCCUGAGCUAAAUGGGCAUUUGCUUGUUUUUUUAUGGGGUUUUUUUUUGGGGGGGGGGGGGGGUUAAUUCUCAAUGUCGUAUGUGUCUUUUUUAGAUGAAAGUGUCUGGAGGUUUUCAGUUUAUUUGCAGUUAUUUUGAAACUGUAGAAUUUUAAUACAUGUGUUCUUUUGGUAGCAAUAUAGAUAAUAGAUUAGAAUUUUUGGCUUCUGCCAUGCAUUUUAUCGAAUGUAAAAAUAUAUAUAUGCACAGCUAGUUUCACGAAAGAGUAUAUUGUCAUAUUUUGUCCAUUUUCUCCGUCAGUAGCCAGCAGAUCUCUUACUUACGUUUACACACUUUGAGCUCCCAUAUUUUUUCAGUAACCGUAGAUCUGAUUUCGGCUCCACACUUUGAUCCUUUUCUCCUUUUUUUAUUAUUUAGAGCUAUCAUUAAUGUUACUGCAAGUUUUCGCUUUAUUUUUUAUUUUGUUUUGUAUUUUAAUACUUUGUUACGUUUCAAAGGUGCUUCCAAAUAACGCUGUGCUAGUGAGUAUACACGAAAAGUGCAAUCAAUUUCUUUUGUCAUCCGUUGCCGAAGGUUUGGUCUAUUUUUUAGCUGCUUUUUCUUUUUCCAAGUUUUGCGUUAACAUGAGAUGCUUCCAUUAGUUGUCGAAGGGGGUUUGGUUCAUUCAAAGUGUACCAUUCACCAAGUACUUCUGAGCUGAAGAUUGUACCUAUGAAAUGGUGUCAUUUUUAUUUUUAAAAUCUUGUGGCAAUUGUUGCUUCACUUAAACAUUCAUAAUUAUCGAACAAGCACUUCGAGUUUUGUCAAAGCUGGUUUUGAUCCAGUUCUAUCUACUGUCUUGACGUUCUUUCUCUGGUUCCUGUUGAAACAGUGUUAGUUUCUCUAGUUUGCUGUUCACGGUAUACUAGUGAAGUUGCCGUGAUACAUGUUCUGGCUAUAGCUCAGACUUGGCCACAGAUUAUGUUUUUCUUGUACCAGGUUCCGUGGAUAACUUCUUUUGAAUAUAACUCCUACUGUAUUACCCCCACAAUGAUAAAUGAAUUUUCUAGUCGGGAGAUGAUACCUUGUUCCAAGGUUUUACUACAUAUUCAUUUUAUGCAAAUCUUAUGUAACAAAUUGAUUAUUUUCGCACAAUCUUUGAAUAGUAUAGAACGCUUUCUCAGGAACUUACAGUCUUCUGUGUUUGCAUAGAAGCUUUUUUUUUCUAUAGAUCUGUUGCGAGAAUAGGCUUUCACAGAUUUAUUAUUUAUUUUUCGUUAUUAUCCACACAAAAAUUGAGACUUGUAAAUCCAGUAAUAUAUAUAGCACAAUGGUGUACAAACUAAGUGAAUUGUUUGUUUUAGAUAUUUCAGUUUUGCUUUUUUUUUCAUCUUCAUUUUACACCAUUAGAAGUAUUCAUGUUUUUCAUUAAAGAGUUUUCAGAGUUUAGAUACAGUCAAAACUGUGGAAAAUGGCCACCCAUUGUCCAACAGAACAUUGACCAUCUUAGGCAGGAAGACGUCUUACACAGUGUCAUCAUAAUGUUUUAAAAAAUGCAAGUGUGGAUGGUGGGGGGGGGGAGGGGGGGAUGAUGGGAAGGGGCCGUUUGUAUAAGUCAUUGUCUCAUAGUGAUAACCGUUAGAGUAAGUUCGAAUGUAUCCUUACUGUUGAUUCCGUAUUUAAGGAAUUUGAAGGGCUUCUAUCUUAUCCUCCUUACAGAGGUUGGUCGUAUACUUGGUGCUUAGAAACACAGAAAAAAAAACUAUUUGUUUGGUCCACUUGACUUGCCUGUGGUGCCUUGACAGUGCCAUUUUUGCAAGUGUUUGGAGCAAGCACGCUGUGUCCUUAUAGAUAUUGUCAUCAUUUCCUAAAUGUGGCAGCACAUUUCACGUAUAUUGGUCAGGAUGGAUGGAGUCCAGCAUCAUAGCUGUCUUCAAUUACAGAUAUGUGUUUCUAUUUUGUGAGAAAUUUUCAAAUAAUCAAAUGUUCAGUUUGCAGCAACAUCCAUUGUUUACUUAAGAGUGUAAAAGAAUGUUUAGAUUUAUUUUAUUUUUUUUGGGGGGGGGUAUAUUUAAUCUUAUGAACCAAAUGUUUCAUUUAUUAUUUAUUGUUAUUGUCUUCGUCUUGGUUUUUUAAAAUGAUUUCAUUGGUUUUAUACGAGCAUUUCAUUGGCACAUAGUCUAAGCAUUGGCAUUUUUCAGUGUUUUACUAGAGGUGCUGCUACAUUCUUCUUACUUCUCUGUCUUUCUCUCUCUCGGCAUUACACUUCAUGUCUGUAUACCAGCAUCUGUCGUGUGGUGGUUAGGCCUGUAGCUGUUGCACGCUCGAGGCCUGACUUCGAUUCCCGUGUUGAGAGAAUUUUUAAGAAUAUCUCAGUCUUUCUGCUAGGAUGACUGAUCCUUCUCCGCCUGGGUUGGUCUUGACAGGCAGGGCCAAAGCCCACCUUCUAAAUGAUCUUAAUUGUGUUGAUGGGGGUGCAAAAGCACUCAUAUGUAAAAAAAAAAAAAAAAGAAGAAAAAUUUGGUUAUUUUGUCAUAUCUUUUUUAAAAAAUAAAUAAACAAAAGUUAUGGACCAAUGCGUGUGUCCUUCCUGGUAGAUAGAAUUGGUACUAAAGUCAUGAACUGAAGACACAGCUACGUGUUUGAAAUAUGAAGGAGACAUAAGGAGGGGUUGUGGCUCACAGAGCAGGACAGGGACACCUCCAACAGAGAGGUGAUGUGGGAAGAGCUCAAGAUGGGGACAGCUGGGAAGUCUAACUCUUUGAGGACGAAACAGACACGUUUAUGUCCGAUCAGUAGCAGGCCAAAGGCCAUAUUGCAGCACAUUUUGAACGUACAUGUACAAAUCAAAUCAUGAAUUUGAAUAUGUUUCAUAGUAGUAUUUUGUUUGCCAUUUAAAGUUUCAGAUUAAAAGAACAGAAUAGGGGGGAAAAAUCUGAAGGAAUAAUGAAAUUACCCUUCUUUUUUUGUUUUUUUAGUGCCCAAAAAACAGAACAUCUAACGUCGUUAUGCGACCAAAACCUGCAUCCUCAAUGAGUGACACUACAUGUUUUGUUUUGGGGGGGGGGUUUUGUACACGCCCUGUAGGAUCAAGUUUGUUUGUUUUUUAUAAGGUGAAUGGGAUUUGUUGUUUUGUUUUGUUUUUUUUGCUGCACUCAUGUCUUUUAUAUGUGCUCAGUUAUUUGCUACAUUUAUAUUGAAAAAAAAAAUUAUUUUCAGCACUUUUUUUAUGGUGAUGGUUGAUAGUUGUAAAAUGAUAUGUUGUCUUUUCAUAUCAUGAAAAGAAGAUUGCUUAACUCAAAACAUAAAUUGUGCUGAAAGGUACGAAUCUAACAGGGUAAACGUUAGCUUGCUUUCUGGUUAAGAGUGAGCUUGUUUUCUGGUUAAAAGUUAUGGGCAGAGUAAUGUAUGGCCCGCCAGCAUGUGUCUUGUGCUACUACAUACGUGUUGGGAAUUUGAUUAUGAUGGUUUUGGUGGACUUUUUUCCCUCAAGUUCUAGGACCCACAAUGUUACAUACAAGUACGUUAUUGCACUGCUCAGCCAAAUUUUAUUUUUACAAUGGUGUGACUUAUUAUGGAUGUGACUGGUAUAUUUGUGCUAUGCGUGUAUGUAUAUAUUUGCCCUCUUGCAUAGUUUGGAAAGACUUGAUUUUUACCAUUGUUUUUGUUUUUGUUUGGAGAUGUCUGUUAAGUGUUUUGGUAUUGAAAUAGUAAUUACUGUAUAGUAACACCUCUAAUAUUUUCCACUCCUAUGACCUGUUUGUGUUGCAAUUGCCGUAAAACUUGUACUAAAACUAUUAAAAAGUGGUCGGAAAAUAGGAUGGAAAGCGUCUGGAGAAAUCACACAGUGUUACAACAACUGAGACUGCAAAUUGAAAUUUUUGAGACGUACACCAACAACUUUAUACAUGUAUUAUAACUAACAGUAGAAAUGACCACAGUCUUUAUUGGGUUUUUUUGCUUGUUGUUUGUUUGUGUAAGGGUUUGAGAAGCAGCCGACUACAUACCUGAGAAAACGUACUAAAUAAUUGGUUCGUUUUCAGAUUUAUCAACUUAAGUUUCUUCUUGUGAUUUACGACUCUCUGUGCUCAUGGAGAAACAUCUUUUCCUCUUCCUAUGGAAGGUAUGUGAGGUGUGCCGACAAAAACAGUUACUUAUCAUUUUCUUCAAGUCUACUGUGUGUUUUAUUUUACCAUACUUGAAAAUUGUACAAACUCUACCUAUAAGGUUGAUGAAUCUAUUUCCAUAAGGCUAAAAUCUGAGAAGUAACUCAUUUUAUCAGCACACCUCUCAUACUGUGCAGGAUGGCUCAAAUGUUGCUCAAAUGUGAUCUGUCAGAUUGUCCAGAAAGACGUUUGUGUAUACCGUAUGUAAAGCGUCGGUAUAGCUAUAGGGUACACAGCUUAAAACGUACUGUCAGCUGUAACGUUCACUAUGUGAAGCCCCAAGUCCCGUCUAGUAUUUUUACUCUCAUUGGUUAAUGCAUGACACAUACCUCAGCAAAGAUGUUAAAAAAACUGAGGUCUGAAGGCAGUUCGUUAUAUCGAAGUUUGUGUGUAUAGGCCUAUAUGUGAUGUCAUUGGUUGGGAUAUAAAUUCUAUCAAAGUCGUUCAAAUUCACAGACACUUUUGUGUAUGCUAUUCAUUUCAACUUUUGAGUAGGCCUCUUUUUUUUAAAAUUAAACUGGUCUUUGGUUUGCCUUCUAAGAAAAAAUGUCCUUAAUUUCAGUAAUUUUUACAAAUUGCAGAAUGAACAAUUGUUUGGGUUUUUUUGUUUUUUCCCAAAAUCAUUUUCGUUUUGUCAGUAGGCCCUAAUUAUUUUGUUUCACCACUCGAACUGUCUAGUCAGAUUUGAUCUGAAAAUUUUUGUUCUUUGUUGAAUUGUGCUUCUUUUUUGUAAUAAUUCAGAUUGUAGGCAUCGGAUGCCUUUUGGUUAGGUUACCCAACUCGUAAUUAUGAGAUUGUGAGUUCGGGGGUUCGAGCCUCAGCUUGGUCCGAUGUUGUAUCCAUGGGAAAGACACUUUAUAUGAAUUUCCCAUUUGGCUCAGUCCUUUUAGAGACGGAAGUUAAACUGGAAGGUCCCGUUAAAUAACCUAAUAGUGUUGAUAGGGGCGUUAAACAAUUACCUUUUCACCAUUUUUUUCUGAUCACAAGUAUGCUUCUAUUGCUAUGUUGUACAUGUGUUUGUAUACCAGUGAUGGUUGGAUUUGCCUUUCUCCUUCUAUGUCAUCGCUGUGAUACAGGAUAUUUUAUGCUUGUUUGUUUGCCUGUAUCUUAACAACAUGUGUGAUAUAUGUGGAGAGCUUUUAAACAACUUUUCAUGUUCAUAUACCUAAUAUUUGGAAUUUGUUAAUUUUCUUUAUAGAUUAUAUGAGAACUAAAAAUUAUGUUUACAACUUUUGAUACCCGGUAUGCUUUAAAUGAUUUCCUGUUCAGUCGGAUUAAAAGCAAGCAUAUCAUGUGA
RNAcentral lists this long non-coding RNA (6829 nucleotides) under Aplysia californica (California sea hare). RNAcentral describes it as "uncharacterized LOC118477552". Lineage: Eukaryota; Metazoa; Mollusca; Gastropoda; Aplysiida; Aplysiidae. The record is from RNAcentral.